GCCUGAUCUUCUUGUAUCCGCCACCGUGCUUGGCACAUAGCAAGCGCUUAAUCAUUUUCCCUAUUAUCAUCUAACCGAAAAACAAUGGUGACCGAGGGGAAGCUCUGACAGAGAUCGCAAUGAUCUCUUGAUGAAGAGAAAACAGAGGAUUGGAGCUGCUUAGGUGAGACAGCUGUUCGGCUUCCCCAAAACGGACUGCAUCAUUCGCACUCAGAGAUGGUUGGCACAGACAGAGCCCUGGCACUAGAUGUAGACCAGAAGUUGACAGCUUAUCGGGCGCUAGACACGACAACCCGUCCCACGGGGCAGAAUGUCAGAAAAAUAAUCUUUGUCCGAGAGAGCACCACCACCCUGAGCCUCUCCAGCCAGGAAACGUUCUGCCGUCGUGACUCAUUCUCCGAGCUGAACGGGAAAUGCGCGAAUCCGUUGAAGACGCCAUCUUGGAAAGACCCGGGAGACGUCGCAAUGGGAGAGAGAAGAGCCGCUCCCUCGUUGGGCAGUGCACCCUGGCCGGUGCCCACGUUCCUGGAGAUUCUCACAGAGUCAUGACGGUUAAUGCCGCUAAAAAAUCUCAUCACCGCUUCUGAUCACUGCAUUGUCUCCCUGUAUGAUCAGAUUGGGGAAAGGUAAGCGCUGGCUGGAAUGACCUAUUAAAGUUACAGCCCGCUGACUUCCUUCUUCUCCCACAAUAGAAACGGGAGGGUGACGGGAAUUUCGCUCCGCCGGUUCUGAGUUCAGCUGUUGGCCUUCUCGGUGGCUGUGGGGCUGGGGGACGUGGAUAAGGAGAAGCCCCAGAUAAUUCCCAAACCUUGACCUCCUCUGAGUCCUUCGCCUGGGGUAUUUAGCAUCCAUCAAUAUCAGUCACCUGUGCUAAUCGAGGGCUGACUGAGUGUCGAGCAUAAUACUAAGCGCUUGGGAGAGAACGAUAUAACAGAGUCGAUAUCAUCAUCAUCAUCAUCGAUGAUAUUCAUCGGGCGCUUACCGUCUGCAGAUCCUGUACUAAGAGCUUGGGAGAGUACAAAACGAUAGAGUUGACAUCAUCAUCAUCAUUAUCAACAAUGGUAAUUAUUCAUUCAUUCAUUCAAUCGUCUUUAUUGAGCGCUUACUGUGUGCAGAGCACUGCACUAAGCACUCGGGAGAGUACGAAAUAACAGAGUUGAUAUUCUCAUCCUCAUUAAUGGUAUUCAUUGAGUGCUUACCAUGUGCAGAGUCCUGUCCUAAGCACUUGGGAGAGUACAAAAUAGCAGAGUUGAUAUUAUCGUCAUCAUCAUCAGUGGUAUUUAUUCAAUGUUUACCGUGCGCAGAACCCUGUAUCAAGCACGGGGGGGGAGUACAAAAUAACAGAGUUGAUAUUAUCAUCCUCAUUAACGGUAUUCAUUGAGUGCUUACCAUGUGCAGAGUCCUUGUACUAAGCACUUGGGAGAGCACAAAAUAGCAGAGUUGAUAUUACUCAUUCAAUAGUAUUUAUUGAGCGCUUACUAUGUGCGGGGCACUGUACUGAGCGCUUGGAAUGUACAAAUCGGUAACAGAUAGAGACGGUCCCUGCCCUCUGACGGGCUUACACACCUCGAUUCUAUUUUUUUGCUAUUGUUUUAAUGAGAUGUUCAUCCCCUUGAUUCUAUUUAUUGCUAUUCAUUCAUUCAGUGGUAUUUAUUGCGCACCUACUAUGUGCAGAGCACUGUACUAAGCGCUCGGAAUGGACAAAUCGGUAACAGAUAGAGACGGUCCCUGCCCUCUGACGGGCUUACACACCUUGAUUCUAUUUAUUUGCUGUUAUCGUCAUCAUCAUCGAUGGUAUUUAUCGAAUGCUUACCGCGCGCAGAACCCUGUAUUAAGCACGUGGGGGAGUACAAAAUAACAGAGUUGAUAUAAUCAUCAUCAUUAAUGGUAUUUUUUGAGUGCUUACUGUGUGAAGGGCACUGUUCUAAGCUCUGGGG
RNAcentral lists this long non-coding RNA (1937 nucleotides) under Ornithorhynchus anatinus (platypus). RNAcentral's name for it is "lncRNA (ENSOANG00000038204.1)". The record is from RNAcentral. Lineage: Eukaryota; Metazoa; Chordata; Mammalia; Monotremata; Ornithorhynchidae.